GACGAACGCUGGCGGCGUGCCUAAUACAUGCGAGUAGAACGCUGAAGGAGGAGCUUACUUCUCUGGAUGAGUUGCGAACGGGUGAGUAACGCGUAGGUAACCUGCCUGGUAGCGGGGGAUAACUAUUGGAAACGAUAGCUAAUACCGCAUAAGAGUAGAUGUUGCAUGACAUUUACUUAAAAGGUGCAAUUGCACCACUACCAGAUGGACCUGCGUUGUAUUAGCUAGUUGGUGGGGUAACGGCUUACCAAGGCGACGAUACAUAGCCGACCGGAGAGUGUGAUAGGCCAAACUGGGACUGAGACACGGCCCAGACUCCUACGGGAGGCAGCAGUAGGGAAGCUUCGGCAAAGGACGGAAGUCUGACCGAGCAACGCCGCGUGAGUGAAGAAGGUGUUCGGAUCGUAAAGCUCUGUUGUAAGAGAAGAACGAGUGUGAGAGUGGAAAGUUCACACUGUGACGGUAUCUUACCAGAAAGGGACGGCUAACUACGUGCCAGCAGCCGCCGUAA
Molecule: ribosomal RNA, 511 nt
Filed under: uncultured bacterium
Lineage: Bacteria
Description: partial 16S ribosomal RNA
Rfam family: Bacterial small subunit ribosomal RNA
Source: RNAcentral